Manis pentadactyla (Chinese pangolin) is the source of this 1513-nucleotide long non-coding RNA. RefSeq lists it as uncharacterized. Lineage: Eukaryota; Metazoa; Chordata; Mammalia; Pholidota; Manidae. The record is from RefSeq and is a predicted model, not a curated record. The transcript has 3 exons.
UCCAGCCUCUCCGGCCUGGGAGCAGGGGGCCUUCCUUUCCUAGGGGGCCCCAGGCUGCUGUGCCCCUUCCCCCGGAGCUGGCUGCUCCCCACCGCGGUCCCGUCUCCUCCUCCAGAGGGACUGGCUCCUGCCCAGACGCCCACUGCCUGCCAGGCCUGCUGCGAGCGCACAGGCCUGACCCCGCCCCCGCCCUCAAAGCUUCCUCUUGAUUCUGGGCCGCCUGCCUGGAAGACACCGAGGGCAGAGGGGCUCAGGGACGCCUCCUCGCUGGCCCCGCCCCUGAGGGCUGCAGGCUGUCUCCAGGGCUCUCCCUGGGGCUGCCAGGCCUGGAGUCAUAGGAUGGGGGGAGGCUGGCGGGGGUCCCAGCAGGAGGCCUGGCUGGGAGGGGGACCAGGGCCCCUCCUAGCGCUCCCUCCUGACACCCCUCACAGCGCUCGGCAGCCCACACCCAGGCGGGGAGAGGCCCUGGGGCCCAGAGGGGUUGGAGGGCUGCCUAGGAGGCCCUCACUGCCCGGGGAGGCCUCGGGCUAGGCCCUCGGCCCCUGCAGCUCCGCCCCAGGCUCUCUGCCGGCAGCGUCUACAUUCAGAAGGAAGGAGACCAAAAACGAGAGGGCAGACCUCCUGCCCCAAGCAUCCCCCUGGCCCCCCAUCAGCUGGUCUGAAAUCCUUCCGUUUGAGCAUCUUCAGGCAGAGCCACACAUCCCCUCAGGUGGAGGACCCCACCCGAGCCUGGAAAACAGCUCCUCCGGCGGAGCCCUGUGUUUGCCACUUGGCCUGAGUAGCAGUUUCCUCACCUUCCCUGUGAGCCACUGGAGGCCUGGCCCCUGUGUGCCUCUCUAAGCUGUGUCCCAGUGCCAGGGCAGUGAUCAGGGUUCCCCGCUGGACGAACAGAUGGAGGACCCCACCCAGCACCCAGCACCCAGCACCCAGCUGCAUUGGCCCACUCACGUUCACCCGCUCCUGUUCUGACACCCCCCCAAGAGGCAAGGAAGUGGAGGCUCGCGAGGGGAAGGCCUUGCCCAGGGCCCAGGCUACAUCUGAUGUCCCCGCGCCUGAGCGCUUUGCCUUCUUCCCUCCUUGCCACACAUGGAGGGCUCCUUCUUCCUUAAAAAGUACAAGGACUGCAUUUGUGACUGCGUUGGUAUAAAGACGAAUAUAAUAAUAAUAUAUAUGAAAACAUUUUCUUUACCCUAACGUGAAGAAAAAAAUUCUCUGAUUUUAAACAAAAUUGAAAUAUUUUAUGGGGCCCUGAAAGUACUGUGGCCUCAGGUACUAUGUUUACUCUGUCUCAAGAGAGUCAGCCUGGCAGGGUGCUUGCAUCCCAAGCUGACCUACUGGGCUUUGAACUCAGGUCUCCUGUAACACCCCCCACACCCCCCAACACCUCCACCACUCCCCGCUGCUGCCACUCUGGGGAAGGACCGGGUGUUGCUGAUUUCUGGCCUUUCUUAAUAGCCAUCCUAUGGCUCUGAACAUCUUGUUUCUGACUGCUUAUAACAACAAUAAUAAAGAA